Molecule: long non-coding RNA, 1011 nt
Filed under: Salmo salar (Atlantic salmon)
Lineage: Eukaryota; Metazoa; Chordata; Actinopteri; Salmoniformes; Salmonidae
Description: lncRNA (ENSSSAG00000097529.1)
Source: RNAcentral
UAUAAAUAAAAAUAGUGGUGACACAAGGAAAUAAAUACACAGUGAAUAACAAAUAACAAUGACGGGGAAAAAAUAGCAUGGUUAUAUACAGGAAGUACCAGGUUAUAACAUGUCUAUAUACAGGAAGUACCAGGUAAUAACAUGGCUAUAUACAGGAAGUACCAGGUAAUAACAUGGCUAUAUACAGGGAGUUCUGGAGGCAAAAGAAACGCACACCUGUUUAGGAGAGGUGCUGGCUAGCAGAGUAGAACACCUGUUUAGGAGAGGUGCUGGAUAGCAGAGUAGAACACCUGGUUAGGAGAGGUGCUGGCUAGCAGAGUAGAACACCUGUUUAGGAGAGGUGCUGGCUAGCAGAGUAAAACACCUGGUUAGGAGAGGUGCUGGCUAGCAGAGUAGAACACCUGGUUAGGAGAGGUGCUGGCUAGCAGAGUAGAACACCUGGUUAGGAGAGGUGCUGGCUAGCAGAGUAGAACAACUGUUUAGGAGAGGUGCUGGCUAGCAGAGUAGAACACCUGGUUAGGAGAGGUGCUGGCUAGCAGAGUAGAACACCUGGUUAGGAGAGGUGCUGGCUAGCAGAGUAGAACACCUGUUUAGGAGAGGUGCUGGCUAGCAGAGUAGAACACCUGUUUAGGAGAGGUGCUGGCUAGCAGAGUAGAACACCUGUUUAGGAGAGGUGCUGGCUAGCGGAGUAGAACACUUGAAUAAGAAAAGGAGAGCUGCACACUCUUGGAGCUCAGAUACAAUAAUUUAAUAACCAACGUUUCGAAGGAGUACCAGCACCGAGUCGAUGUGCAGUGGAACGAGGUAAUUGAGGUAACUGUUUACAUAUAGGUCCAGGGUAAAGUAACUAGGCAACAGGAUAGAUGAUUGACAGUAGCAGCAGCGUAUUGUGAUGAGUCAAAAGCAGAUAGUGAAAAAUAGGUAAAAGCACAUAGUUAAAUAAAUAGCUACCCAGACUAACUAUUUAGCAGCCUUAUGGUUGGGGGGUAGAAGCUGUUCGGUAUCCUGUUG